UGAGGAAUAUUGGUCAAUGGGCGCAAGCCUGAACCAGCCAUCCCGCGUGAAGGAUGAAGGCCCUAUGGGUCGUAAACUUCUUUUAUACACCAAGAAAAAGCAGGACGUGUCCCGCCCCGACGGUAGUGUAUGAAUAAGCAUCGGCUAACUCCGUGCCAGCAGCCGCGGUAAUACGGAGGAUGCGAGCGUUAUCCGGAUUCAUUGGGUUUAAAGGGUGCGUAGGCGGCUUUUUAAGUCAGUGGUGAAAUCUUGCCGCUUAACGGUAAAAUUGCCAUUGAUACUGAUAAGCUUGAGGACAGCUGAGGUAAGCGGAAUGUGUAGUGUAGCGGUGAAAUGCUUAGAUAUUACACAGAACACCGAUUGCGAAGGCAGCUUACUAAACUGUCACUGAAGCUGAUGCACGAAAGCGUGGGGAGCGAACA
This 422-nucleotide ribosomal RNA is filed under the name uncultured bacterium. Its description in RNAcentral is "bacterial SSU rRNA". It matches the Rfam family "Bacterial small subunit ribosomal RNA", at positions 355 to 774 of the family's 1533-position model. The record is from RNAcentral.